This 853-nucleotide ribosomal RNA is filed under the name Kirschsteiniothelia emarceis. Its description in RNAcentral is "eukaryotic LSU rRNA". It matches the Rfam family "Eukaryotic large subunit ribosomal RNA", at positions 49 to 920 of the family's 3401-position model. The record is from RNAcentral. Lineage: Eukaryota; Fungi; Ascomycota; Dothideomycetes; Kirschsteiniotheliales; Kirschsteiniotheliaceae.
ACCGGUAGAAGAACCAAACAGGGAUUGCCCUAGUAACGGCGAGUGAAGCGGCAACAGCUCAAAUUUGAAAUCUGGCCCUCCCGGGGGUCCGAGUUGUAAUUUGCAGAGGGUGCUUUGGCAUCGGCUGCGGUCCAAGUCCCUUGGAACAGGGCGUCGGAGAGGGUGAGAAUCCCGUAUCUGGCCGCCAGCCUUCGCCGUGUAAAGCCCCUUCGACGAGUCGAGUUGUUUGGGAAUGCAGCUCAAAGUGGGAGGUAAAUUUCUUCUAAAGCUAAAUACCGGCCAGAGACCGAUAGCGCACAAGUAGUGUGAACGAAAGAUGAAAAGCACUUUGGAAAGAGAGUCAAAAAGCACGUGAAAUUGUUGAAAGGGAAGCGCUUGCAGCCAGACGUGCCCGCGGUCGCUCAGCCAGGCCCUUCGCCUGGUGCACUCCUCCGCGGGCAGGCCAGCAUCGGUUCCGGUGGUCGGACAAAGGCCUGCUAAACGUACCUCCCCCGGGAGGACUUAUAGGGUAGGUGGCAUACGGCCAGCCGGGAUCGAGGUCCGCGCUUCGGCGAGGAUGCUGGCGUAAUGGUGGCAAGCGGCCCGUCUUGAAACACGGACCAAGGAGUCUAACAUCUAUGCGAGUGUUUGGGUGUCAAGCCCGGGCGCGCAAUGAAAGUGAACGGAGGUGGGAUCCCUUCACCGGGUGCACCAUCGACCGAUCCUGAAGUCUUCGGAUGGAUUUGAGUAAGAGCAUAGCUGUUGGGACCCGAAAGAUGGUGAACUAAGCUUGAAUAGGGUGAAGCCAGAGGAAACUCUGGUGGAGGCUCGCAGCGGUUCUGACGUGCAAAUCGAUCGUCAAAUUUGGGCUUAG